Molecule: ribosomal RNA, 449 nt
Filed under: uncultured bacterium
Lineage: Bacteria
Description: partial 16S ribosomal RNA
Rfam family: Bacterial small subunit ribosomal RNA
Source: RNAcentral
AACGAACGCUGGCGGCAUGCCUAACACAUGCAAGUCGAACGAGAUCUUCGGGUCUAGUGGCGCACGGGUGCGUAACGCGUGGGAAUCUGCCCUUUGGUUCGGAAUAACAGUUGGAAACGACUGCUAAUACCGGAUGAUGACGAAAGUCCAAAGAUUUAUCGCCAGAGGAUGAGCCCGCGUAGGAUUACCUAGUUGGUGUGGUAAAGGCGCACCAAGGCGACGACCCUUAGCUGGACUGAGAGGAUGAUCAGCCACACUGGGACUGAGACACGGCCCAGAUACCUACGGGAGGCAGCAGUGGGGAAUAGUGGACAAUGGGCGAAAGCCUGAUCCAGCAAUGCCGCGUGAGUGAUGAAGGCCUUAGGGUUGUAAAGCUCUUUUACCCGGGAUGAUAAUGACAGUACCGGGAGAAUAAGCUCCGGCUAACUCCGUGCCAGCAGCCGCAGUAA